RNAcentral lists this long non-coding RNA (1022 nucleotides) under Chloebia gouldiae (Gouldian finch). RNAcentral describes it as "Erythrura gouldiae (Gouldian finch) lncRNA (ENSEGOG00005002580.1)". Lineage: Eukaryota; Metazoa; Chordata; Aves; Passeriformes; Passeridae. The record is from RNAcentral.
UUUUAACUAAUAAUAAUUAAUUAAUGGUUUAAGUAUAUCAUAGAAGGAUCUGUCAUUUAUUAUAAGCUAUUUACUUUCACAUGUCAUUUGUCCCACUCAUAUUGGCAAUGUGAAUAUGCACAUCUUUUCUUUUCUUUGAAAGGCUGCAUUUCUCCUUGGGUACUGAUGUGUUGGUCAGAGCUAAUGUUGAAUUUUGGUGGCAGUAACAAAUACAAAUGCUUUUGCUGAGUGUACCCCAAGCAUAGCAAGAGCUCACUGCAACUACCAUACCUGAAGUCUGCAGGAGCAGAGCAAUUUACUUUGGUUUAUUAUAAUCAGUAAACUUGAAUUUACCCUGAGCCCCCAAGAAACCAUGGUCUCAUUUUUUGUCUUUUCCUGCAAGUGCUUCUCUUCUGGGGUUUUCCUGAUCCCCAGCAUAGCACCCAAGUCUACUUGGGACAGAUGGUGUCUGAGGUAGGUUGGUUGGGUUUUGGUUCAUGUUUUUUUCAAGGACAGCUGUGGGUUUGUUUUUUUGGUUUUUUUUUUUUGAUGGAGAAUACUAGUCAGCACCCCUACCAUGCCAGUUCACGUUGCAAGCUUGCAGUCCAACCAGCAUUCAGCUAUCCCGGAUCUCACAAGCACAGGUCUCUUAUUGACAUCUGAACUGCAGCCGUAGCUCUCCAGGACCUGGGAGGAGAACCUGCAGCUGGGAUAUCUACCACUUCUCUACCCCACCAUCAGCCAAGGUAAGAAACCUUGCCCCUGCACCAGGUACACACACAAGCAGAUGAAAAAUGUAAAGCUUUAUUUUAUUUUCCUUGGUCAAAAAACCCCAACAGACCAUCAGUCUUUUUUAAGACCAGCCCCCACCCCCAGAACACAGUGGAUAUGGGUUAGCUUUUUGGCUAAAGAAGGUUAAAUAGAUAUACUAAACAUGGUACAAGGAAACCUUAAAUACAGUGUAAAAAGAUGCCCUCAGCUGAUGGAGCCAACCCGUAUCUUUCUUAAAUAAAUAGGUAGAAUCAGUUACUACCGGAUAAAGU